Molecule: ribosomal RNA, 433 nt
Filed under: uncultured bacterium
Lineage: Bacteria
Description: partial 16S ribosomal RNA
Rfam family: Bacterial small subunit ribosomal RNA
Source: RNAcentral
AACGAACGCUGGCGGCAUGCCUAACACAUGCGAGUCGAACGAGACCUUCGGGUCUAGUGGCGCACGGGUGCGUAACGCGUGGGAACCUGCCCUUAGGUUCGGAAUAACUCCCCGAAAGGGGUGCUAAUACCGGAUAAUGUCUUCGGACCAAAGACUUAUCGCCUUUGGAUGGGCCCGCGUUGGAUUAGCUAGUUGGUAGGGUAAAAGCCUACCAAGGCGACGAUCCAUAGCUGGUCUGAGAGGAUGAUCAGCCACACUGGGACUGAGACACGGCCCAGACUCCUACGGGAGGCAGCAGUGGGGAAUAUUGGACAAUGGGCGAAAGCCUGAUCCAGCAAUGCCGCGUGAGUGAUGAAGGCCUUAGGGUUGUAAAGCUCUUUUACCCGGGAUGAUAAUGACAGUACCGGGAGAAUAAGCUCCGGCUAACUCCGUG